RNAcentral lists this ribosomal RNA (1491 nucleotides) under Psychrobacter pulmonis. RNAcentral describes it as "bacterial SSU rRNA". It matches the Rfam family "Bacterial small subunit ribosomal RNA". Lineage: Bacteria; Pseudomonadati; Pseudomonadota; Gammaproteobacteria; Moraxellales; Moraxellaceae. The record is from RNAcentral.
GGGUGGCGCGGCUUGCACAUGCAAGUCGUAACGGGGUAGCCAGUAACUUGCUUCUCGCUGACGAGCGGCGGACGGGUGAGUAAUACUUAGGAAUCUACCUAGUAGUGGGGGAGAGCUCGGGGAAACUCGAAUUAAUACCGCAUACGACCUACGGGAGAAAGGGGGCGGCUUGUUGCUCUCGCUAUUAAAUGAGCCUAAGUCGGAUUAACUAGAUGGUGGGGUAAAGGCCUACCAUGGCGACCAUCUGUAGCUGGUCUGAGAGGAUGUAUUCAACCACACCGGGACUGAGAACACAGCUCCCGGACUUCUCUACGGGAGGCAGCAUGUGGGGAAUAUUGGACACACUCGGGGGCAACCCUGAUCCAGCCAUGGCCGCGUGUGUGAAGAAGGCCUUUUGGUUGUAAAGCACUUUUAAUCAGUGAAGAAAGACUUCCGUGGUUAAUACCCCAUGGAUCGAUGACUUUAGCUGCAGAAUCAAGCACCGGCUUAACUCUGUGCCAGCAGCCGCGGUAAUACAGAGGGUGCUGAGCGUUAAUCGGAAUUACUGGGCGUAAAGCGAGCCGUACGUGGCUUGAUAAGUCAGAUGUGAAAGCCCCGGGCUUAACCUGGGAACGGCAUCUGAUACUGUUAGGCUAGAGUAAGUGAGAGGGAAGGUAGAAUUCCCUUGUGUAGCGGUGAAAUGCAUGCAGAUCUGGAGGAAUGCCGAUGGCGAAGGCAGCCCUUCUGGCAUCAUACUGACACUGACGUUCGAAAGCGUGGGUAGCAAACAAGAUUAAAUACCCCUGGUAGUCCACGCCGUACACAAUGUAUACUAAUCGUUUGGUCCGUUUGAGGACGUAGUGACCCACCUAACGCAAUAAGUAGACCGCCUGGGGAGUACGGCCGCAAGGUUAAAACUCAAAUGAAUUGAUCGGGGGCCCGCACAAGCGGUGGAGCAUGUGGUUUUAAUUCGAUGCAACGCGAAGAACCUCACCUUGGUCUUGACAUAUCUACGAAUCCUGCAGAGAUGCAGGGAGUUGGCCUUCGGGAAUUAGAAUACAGGUGCCUGCAUGCGCUGUCGUCAGCUCGUGUCGUGAGAUGUUGGGUUAAGUCCCGCAACAGAGCGCAACCACUUGUCCUUAGUAUACCAGCGAGUUUGGCCGGGAACUCGUAGAGGAUACAUGCCAUGAUGACAAACUGGAGGAAGGCGGGAGACGACGUCAAGUGCAUCAUGGCCCUUACUGACCAGGGCUACACACGUGGUACAAUGGUAGGUACAGAGGGCAGCUACACCGCGAUGUGAUGCGAAUCUCAAAAAGCCUAUUGUAGUCCAGAUUGGAGUUUGCAACUUGACUCCAUGAAGUUGGAAUCGCUAGUAAUCGCGGAUCAGAAUGCCGCGGUGAAUACGUUCCCGGGCCUUGUACACACCGCCCGUCACACCAUGGGAGUUGAGGCACCAGAAGGGCGACAGUAACCUCCUGGCUCGGUGCGACGUGAACCGUACUCCUAAUC